This is a long non-coding RNA of Megalobrama amblycephala (Wuchang bream), 756 nucleotides long. RefSeq lists it as uncharacterized. NCBI's taxonomy places the organism in Eukaryota, Metazoa, Chordata, Actinopteri, Cypriniformes, Xenocyprididae. The transcript has 2 exons. The record is from RefSeq and is a predicted model, not a curated record.
UUCAGUUUUUCAUUUUAUGUUUUUAUUCAUGACUUUUGUAUUGUCAUGUGCUUUAAUUUUGAAGUUUAGUUUAUCUUCCAUAUUCUUGUUUCCUGUAUUGGUUAUUUUUAGCUUCAUGCUCUCUGGAGGAGGCGGCAGUGACAUGUUGUGUUAUUCCUUAUAUGGCGCUGACAGCACCACCCCCUUUAUACAUGGCUGGUAGCGUGUGAUGAAGCUCAUCUCAAGUAAAUGAAGCCUUGUCUCCACUGCCUUUAAAGUGUUCACUGGACCCCGUCCUAACCUGGACCACACUCCCCUCAGCAUUCACAACAAGGACAACAGAUCCCCCCCUUUUCUUUGGACACUUUCCUCAUGGAAAGUAUUUAUCCCCAUUUUUAAUAUUUUAUGUUUUUUUAAUGUUAAAUAGACACCUGGGCCUCUUAUGAUCCUAGUUACACCACUAAACUUGCUAGUAUUACAUUCUGAACACUGAAUGUGUGAAAGAGUGACAGAAUGCAUUAUGAACCUUUGUACUUCUCAGGACCGUCUGGAGGCUGGGGGUCUGGAAUGGGGUCAUACACACUGCAGUCCUUCCCAGUGUAGUCGGAGUCACAGAUACACUUCACCUCAUUACUGCACGUCUAACAUGGAGAGAGGCAGAAAAUAUCUAGAUAAGCCAAAAGCUGGAAAAAAUAUCUUGGCUCACAUUACUAUAGUAAAGCAACACUAUCUGGACUAGCAGUCAAAUUUACAAUGAAAAUUAAAGGGUUAGUUCAC